RNAcentral lists this ribosomal RNA (476 nucleotides) under uncultured organism. Its description in RNAcentral is "partial 16S ribosomal RNA". It matches the Rfam family "Bacterial small subunit ribosomal RNA", at positions 334 to 801 of the family's 1533-position model. The record is from RNAcentral.
CACUCCUGCGGGAGGCAGCAGUGGGGAAUAUUGCACAAUGGGCGCAAGCCUGAUGCAGCCAUGCCGCGUGUAUGAAGAAGGCCUUCGGGUUGUAAAGUACUUUCAGCGGGGAGGAAGGUGUUGAGGUUAAUAACCUCAGCAAUUGACGUUACCCGCAGAAGAAGCACCGGCUAACUCCGUGCCAGCAGCCGCGGUAAUACGGAGGGUGCAAGCGUUAAUCGGAAUUACUGGGCGUAAAGCGCACGCAGGCGGUCUGUCAAGUCGGAUGUGAAAUCCCCGGGCUCAACCUGGGAACUGCAUUCGAAACUGGCAGGCUAGAGUCUUGUAGAGGGGGGUAGAAUUCCAGGUGUAGCGGUGAAAUGCGUAGAGAUCUGGAGGAAUACCGGUGGCGAAGGCGGCCCCCUGGACAAAGACUGACGCUCAGGUGCGAAAGCGUGGGGAGCAAACAGGAUUAGAAACCCGGGUAGUCCCAUGAU